Molecule: ribosomal RNA, 497 nt
Filed under: uncultured bacterium
Lineage: Bacteria
Description: partial 16S ribosomal RNA
Rfam family: Bacterial small subunit ribosomal RNA
Source: RNAcentral
GAUGAACGCUGGCGGCGUGCCUAAUACAUGCAAGUCGAGCGAACGGACGAGAAGCUUGCUUCUCUGAUGUUAGCGGCGGACGGGUGAGUAACACGUGGAUAACCUACCUAUAAGACUGGGAUAACUUCGGGAAACCGGAGCUAAUACCGGAUAAUAUUUUGAACCGCAUGGUUCAAAAGUGAAAGACGGUCUUGCUGUCACUUAUAGAUGGAUCCGCGCUGCAUUAGCUAGUUGGUAAGGUAACGGCUUACCAAGGCAACGAUGCAUAGCCGACCUGAGAGGGUGAUCGGCCACACUGGAACUGAGCCACGGUCCAGACUCCUACGGGAGGCAGCAGUAGGGAAUCUUCCGCAAUGGGCGAAAGCCUGACGGAGCAACGCCGCGUGAGUGAUGAAGGUCUUCGGAUCGUAAAACUCUGUUAUUAGGGAAGAACAUAUGUGUAAGUAACUGUGCACAUCUUGACGGUACCUAAUCAGAGAGCCACGGCUAACUACGUG